Molecule: transfer RNA, 81 nt
Filed under: Myxococcales bacterium
Lineage: Bacteria; Pseudomonadati; Myxococcota; Myxococcia; Myxococcales
Also listed under: 1 other name
Description: tRNA-Pro
Rfam family: tRNA
About the family: Transfer RNA (tRNA) molecules are approximately 80 nucleotides in length.
Source: RNAcentral
CUGGGUGUAGCUCAGCCUGGUUUCAAGAGCGCUCGGUCCGGAACCGAGGGGCCGCAGGUUCGAAUCCUGCCACCCAGACCA